Molecule: non-coding RNA, 32 nt
Filed under: Mus musculus (house mouse)
Lineage: Eukaryota; Metazoa; Chordata; Mammalia; Rodentia; Muridae
Source: RNAcentral
UGCUCAAUAAGCUGUAGCCUAGAGUGGGCAAU